RNAcentral lists this transfer RNA (44 nucleotides) under Tetranychus kanzawai. RNAcentral describes it as "tRNA-Ile". Lineage: Eukaryota; Metazoa; Arthropoda; Arachnida; Trombidiformes; Tetranychidae. RNAcentral also lists the same sequence under 2 other names. The record is from RNAcentral.
AGUAAUAUUUAGUUAUUGAUAAUUAACUUUAAAAAAAUUUACUA